UGCCAGCAGCCGCGGUAAUACUGGAGGUGCAAGCGUUAAUCGGAAUCACUGGGCGUAAAGCGCUCGUAGGUGGCUCAUUAAGUCACAUGUGAAAUCCCCGGGCUUAACCUGGGAACUGCAUGUGAUACUGGUGGUGCUAGAAUAUGUGAGAGGGAAGUAGAAUUCCAGGUGUAGCGGUGAAAUGCGUAGAGAUCUGGAGGAAUACCGAUGGCGAAGGCAGCUUCCUGGCAUAAUAUUGACACUGAGAUUCGAAAGCGUGGGUAGCAAACAGGAUUAGAUA
RNAcentral lists this ribosomal RNA (280 nucleotides) under uncultured bacterium. Its description in RNAcentral is "partial 16S ribosomal RNA". It matches the Rfam family "Bacterial small subunit ribosomal RNA", at positions 506 to 784 of the family's 1533-position model. The record is from RNAcentral.